UUAAAUUAAAAAAAAAAGAAAUACAUUAUUAAUUUCCAAAAAAGUAACCAAUUAAAAUCAACAAAUUAGAUUUGAUAUCUAAAUUAUCAUAUUAAUUUUUUAUUAAUUAUUAUAGUUCACCUCUCAUCUUUAUAUGAGUAACCCAUUCGAGUUCGGGUAGAACCCGUUCGGGUUUGGGAUUAAUGGGUAUAUGAUUUACUACCCAAUAGAAUAAUCCUACUAUAUUAUUUGGGAAGUACAUUUUAAAUGUAACCUUAUCUUUUGUAAGUAAUUACAUAGGUAUGCCAUUAGAAAUAAAAUUUUAAAUAGUAAA
This 313-nucleotide small RNA is filed under the name Arabidopsis thaliana (thale cress). RNAcentral's name for it is "ATSL209820". The record is from RNAcentral. Lineage: Eukaryota; Viridiplantae; Streptophyta; Magnoliopsida; Brassicales; Brassicaceae.